ACUUCCUAAGCCGGAACGAAAAAUCUCUUUGUAGCAAUGCAUUGAUAUUUUUGGCUUUGUGGUUGUGAUGUUGUGUUUGCAAGUUGUCUGGGAAACCAGACUUUGUAGCUUAUGCUACUGUUUUUUUUCACUUCCUGUACAUUUACCCUGUCUGUCCAUAGUGAUUUUUUUAAUGCACCGCAAUUGCGGUGCUUUUUUUC
This 200-nucleotide non-coding RNA is filed under the name Xenorhabdus beddingii. RNAcentral's name for it is "GcvB". It matches the Rfam family "GcvB RNA". Rfam says of the family: The gcvB gene encodes a small untranslated RNA involved in expression of the dipeptide and oligopeptide transport systems in Escherichia coli. Lineage: Bacteria; Pseudomonadati; Pseudomonadota; Gammaproteobacteria; Enterobacterales; Morganellaceae. The record is from RNAcentral.